This is a long non-coding RNA of Gasterosteus aculeatus aculeatus (three-spined stickleback), 3816 nucleotides long. Lineage: Eukaryota; Metazoa; Chordata; Actinopteri; Perciformes; Gasterosteidae. The record is from Ensembl.
UAUCACUGCUUAUCCAUUACAGUGAUCACAAACAGGCGUAAACGAGCUCUCUCGGCUUCCUUUAGGGUAUUUUCCAUUUACAAAUGAUGCUUUAAAGUACCACAACACAUCCACUCGUUCUCUUUCUUUCUCUCACAUAUGGAUAUGUGUAGAUAUUUCAGGUGCAUCAAAAAAAUAUACAUAUAUAUAUAUAUAUAUAAAUGUGGUGGUAAAUAGCCCUGCCUUCGUGCAGCUGCUGCGCCUCCGGGCUGCCUGCCUUGCGCCCUUGACAUCGCCGCGGCGAGCUGCCUGCGCUGCUCCUCGCUGAGUUCACCCAGGUCCACCGGAGUCCCCUCGGGGACCCGGACGAAGCCGCCCUUGCCGUCGGGUGCCAGCCCCUCCGGUAGCCCGGACGGCGGCCCUUCGCCUCCUUCCAGGCUCGCUUCGUUCCCCAUGAUCGACCCCUCCCGUCCCCCUCCCCACCACCACCACCACCACUACCACCUCCCGUACGCGGAUGGAUGUAGGAUCCGAGCCUUCCCCCGCGUUUUUAUGUCCAAAGCGCGCAGCGAACACGGUGUCCCUCGGUGCCUCGAAGCAUCUCAGAUCGGGUUGUCCCCCGGCGGUUAGUGUCCUUCCAUGUCCCUCAUUUCUCCUUGUUUUUCCGUGUCGCGCAUCUCUGCAGCUGUACGUACACCACAGUUACCACAGUUUUCCGUGAGGGGGGUCUCUGUCUUACUAUUGCUCACAGUCAGAGAAGGGCACUUCCGGUAGGUUUUACAAAAUAAAAAUCAUAAUCAGACGGCAAUAAUGCGAUUUAUUUAGUUUGGACAUUGGGAAAUGAAAUCAUUAUGGGGGCCUAAUGCAUGAUCUGAAAUUAAAAGACGCAAUAAAAGCAGUGAUACUUAAAUAACAUAAAACCUUACAGGUAGAACAGGUAGGCCGCUCUUGUGUACCCGAUGAGGGGAAUAUAAUUUAAAGCUUCACUUAAGUAAUCUGUUCGUGCCAAACGAUUCCAGAACGUCAGUCACUGAAACCUCUAACACAACAUUUUAAGGCAUUUAUAUUGAAACCCAACUGUUUACUACUUCCGUUUCGUUCCAUGGAACAGAUUGUCUAACAUCCUCUGGACUCUCCUGCUCACCCACCGCGCCUGGUUCCGCCUGUGGCAGGUGAUCAGAAGACAUCCGUGGAGAAAAAUGUGUUUUUAAAGGGGACAUCCUCAGCUAAAUGUGUCUGUUUUGAUAGUUUAAACUGCGAGGCUGAGGGAAACAUAAAGGACAUCAUUGGUGCUUUUUGUUUUCUUCAUUCAUUAUUAAAGUCAAAUUGAAGAUACUUGCAGAUGUUUAUAGGUCAAGCAUAUGGAGAGGGGAUGUGAAAUGAUAGUGGAAGCACAUAUGCACUAUAAAAUAUCUAUUGAAGAGAAAUAUAGGAUGAUGUACUUUAUGUGCAUUUUAUCCAUCCUGACCCGCACAAGCAGUUUGGUUCUGCAAGAGACCAAAAAUUUGCAGCAAUCUCAUUCAAAAACGCCAUACGUCUUAUUUCAGUGGAAAGUUCUAACAUAAAAUAUUCAAAAACACAGAUAAAACAUCAGCAAGGUUCUUCAGAUGGCUCAUAGCAUGAAUAAUAUCUCAUUCGCUUUGUUCUUUUUCCCCACUUGGCAGCUAGAUGUCUCUAAAAGGCUGUAUAGUCUCAAAUAUGUUAAUUUGCAACUGAAUGCUGGCAGAAGCAUGCGGACAUCAAGCUGACUGUAAAUUACAGUGAAUUAUUUAUUCCCUGACUGCCGUUGUUUUCAUGGUGGGACCACUGUGAUCCAAUGAGUGUAAUUCAUUGGCUGCAGUAUGUUGUAGGUGAAUACAUAAACAAAUGUACAGUACGAAUGUAUUAUUAUCAGCCCCAGAUGUUGAAAAAUGACACGGCGACAAUAUAUUGAGCCCCCAUCUACUGAGGAUAUGCACAAGCAGUCACCAGAUUCCGUGGAGAAGGAUAUUAAAACGCGUCGCCUCUGCUGUACAUCACGAUGAUGUGCUGCAAUCUGACAGCGAGGGCUCAUUUGCUCCCUUGUCUCUGGAGCUCUGGGGCAGACGUGUCCUCUAUGUGUGCCUUGCUCAGGGCCCUUAGUACCUGGGCAUGGAGGGAGGGAGGGAGGGAGGGAGGGGGGGGGCCGGAUGACUAGUCUGCAUCCUCAGCCAAAGCCCAACGUUUGUUUGUUUCCUUUCUGUUUUCCUGAACAGCUCCUUAACAAAAGCAUCAAGGACUUUGUGACGCUGCACAUCAUCAUUUAAACCAAAUGUUAGCUGCUACGCCAGCUUCAGCAAGUACGAACAUUUUUAUUAUGCCUCUGAUUUUAUGUGUUGUGAGUCUACCCAUUUCCAUUUUCAGCAUAUCAAAUUCUUUGGAAAUGCACUAGAUUAGAUUUCUACACUAACACUCUGUGAACAGUUGCUAUGAAGCUACAACCAGGAUGCUGAAGACAGGAAGCAGAGGAAGCCAGUUACCCAGGCUUUGUAAAAAAAAAAGGUAGCAAAGCCUAUAACUUUCAGCACUAUAUGUAUUUUUAAUACAGACAAGUGAAAUAUAUGUAAUUUGUAUUUUUACGGCGCGUGAUGUGCUGGAUUGUCCCUGUGUUGCCCCUUUAAAGAGAGACAUCCUGACUCAGGGGUGUUAUAUUGCAUUAUUUACCUCUGUUUAUGUGCAGAAAAAACCUGCUGUACAACCUCAGCAUGUUGGAUUGAACAACCGCAAUAUGAAUAGUGUAAACAGUCUCACAGCCUUAUAGGUGCCUAAAGUUUAUUUAAUUUGGACAGAGCCAGGUUAACUGCUGCAACAUGGUUCGGUCUUUUCCUUCAUGCUUUCUUUGUUCCUCCUAUCAUAUCACUUUUCUUUAAAUUCUACAUUUAAAAUCACAUUUCCUUGCUCUCCACCUCCAGUACUUUGUCUUACUAUAUAUAGAUACGCCUCAUGUUCUUCAUCCUGGUCUCCCUCUCUCCUUUAGUCUUCUUCCUCCUCCUCCUCCUCCUCCUCUUAGUGUACGUCCAUGCGUAGGCCGUGUAGCGAUUGCUCGGCUCCUCCCCUCCUUCCCACUGAUCGCUGAGGCACGGAUCGUCUCUACGCUGUGAGGAGGAAGCAGCUUGUGCGUGCGUGCUCUCCCUCCGUAUCUCACGCACGCAUUCACACAAACACAUCGACUGAAGCACCCGGACGUGCAAAGCAAACGCCUUCAACCAGGCAGACAGACGGACACACGCACACACACACACACACAGACUCCUGCAAACACAAGCUGUGACACACUCAUGCCCAGGCAUAAGAGGUCCGUCUAAUCCUCUUUUCUUCUGAGAGGCCAAUCGCACGCUGCGCUGUCCAGUAAGCUGUUUUUUUUGGUCCUGCUGUAACUACCUGUCAGAGUUGAGGGACAAGAUAAAAAAAGGACUCCACGAUCAAUUAGUCAUCCUUUAACAAAACUAAGUUUAACCCCAUACUUUCUCACAGCGACAAACACCCCUGAAGCUUCACUGAGAAGCCACAACACCACCAUCUGUUGAGGCUGGGAAGCACAGACAGACGUAUAGAGGACGACAGGACGGCAAUAUUACAGGAAGCAUAAAUUCUAUGGCUGCGGUACAAGGGAAACGGGCCGUCUUUCUGGCUCACUGAAUGCAGAGGCAGAUUCUCUGUGAAUCAUUUUCCUCGGCCCCCCCCGAAGGCAAACAAAGGCGUCUGAUUCUGGGACUCGACACGACGCAGGCGUCGGAGAAGUCGCUUUUGUUUCAUGCAAAUACACAGCAGCACAAAUACACAAGGGACCAGCAUGCAGAGGCAAGAAGAGAUAUGCUC